This 252-nucleotide ribosomal RNA is filed under the name uncultured bacterium. Its description in RNAcentral is "partial 16S ribosomal RNA". It matches the Rfam family "Bacterial small subunit ribosomal RNA", at positions 524 to 776 of the family's 1533-position model. The record is from RNAcentral.
UACGUAGGGGGCAAGCGUUGUCCGGAGUUACUGGGCGUAAAGCGUGCGCAGGCGGUUCGUUGUGUCGGUGGUGAAAUCCCCGGGCUCAACCUGGGAACUGCAUUGUGACUGCAUCGCUGGAGUGCGGCAGAGGGGGAUGGAAUUCCGCGUGUAGCAGUGAAAUGCGUAGAUAUGCGGAGGAACACCGAUGGCGAAGGCAAUCCCCUGGGCCUGCACUGGCGCUCAUGCACGAAAGCGUGGGGAGCAAACAGG